UUAAAUACACAACAUGUAAUUGAUGGAAUAGGAACCAGGUGUGAGGAAGACAAGACAAAACCAAUGGAAAAUGAAAGGUGGAUCGGCGAUGGCUGGAAGGCCGGUGACGUCGACCGCCGAACGCCGCCCGCACAAGGAGAAGGACCAACUUCGGUGGAAGUCGUGACAAAAACGACGUUGGAGGCGGCUUAUGGUAGAGAAAUUAACAUAACAUUCUCUGACAGCAGCUCUGUUGGACAUUCCUGCGGUCAGCCUGCCAAAUGCACGCUCCCUCAAAACUUGAGACAUCUGUGGCAUUGUGUUGUGUGAAAAAGUUUAGAGUGGCCUUUUAUUGCCCCUAGUACAAGGUGCACCAUGCUAAUCUUUGGCUUCGUUUUAUGAAAACAACACAAGCGAAGUUAAUAACUUCCCAAUUUUCCCCUCAGUGACAUUUAGUCAUAGUUGGCCUUCUAUGUGGUUCAAGGUCCUCUGACUAUCUGGAUCUGCCAGACAGGCAGUGAGAAGUUGAUAUACAGUAGGUUACUAAGAAACAAACUGAUAAUAACAAUUUGAACAUCUGCACGCAAGGUUAAGGUGGAAAAAUAGAAGUAGAAAAGGGAAGGAAAGUAGCAGAGAGAGACAGAGUGUGUGUGCGCAAACAGAGGAAGCAUAAGUGCUGAAGGCAGCACAAUAUGUGGAUGAGCUGAAGAAAGAGAACGGGGAACAGAAAGUUACAGAAAUAAACCAAAAAAGAGAAGAAUGACUCUCAGCCCAUUACUGAAAGCAUCCAAAGAGAGCAGUGUGAUGAGUAACAUGCCAAGUAUAGAAAAGACCAAGGUGUGUGUGUAUAGGGAAGGGCGGAAGUACAAAGGACAUUGUGCAGCCCAAGGGGAACAGGUGGGAGGGGGACGGGGGUUAAACAAAGAUGAAUUGAUAAACAAUGGUGACUUACUGUGCUGCAAAACAUAGGAUAGGCCUGCAUUAAAGGUGUCGUCUAAAAUAAAUAUACUUGUGUGUGCAUCCCAGCUAGCACAGUGGAUCUGUGCCGAUUCCGGCUGAGAGUUAGGGCACUCGGCUGAUAGUCAAACUCGGCCGACGUCAUGUGGCCAGAAUCUGGGCUGCCUUUCGGCAGUAUUACUUAUGUCUAGGAUGCGGGGACUGAGCUCGGGGAGAUUCCGGUGUGAGUUAUCUGGCCCAAAUGUAUUACUUGGGGCUCUGGCCGAUUGUGGCUACUCUGGCAGAUGAUUACACAGGCUGCUUUAUGUAAUUAACAUUUCACUAUUUAUUUAUUUAUUUAUUUUUCCAUAGUUUCUCAUUGUUUCUGUGAUCAAAAAAUGAAAUGAACAUUUAAAUAAAAUUCUUUAAGAGUCUUGUUUAAGGAGUAUUUUAGUAUUUUGAUACUGUGAAAAUUGAUAAGCAUUAAAAACUUUGUGCAUGGGGCCUGCCGAGUGGCGCAGUGGCCUAAGACAAUGCAUUGCAGUGCAAACUGUGUUGCUACAGAUGCUGGUUUGAUACCCGUGCCGGCUGCAACCAGGAGACCCAUGAGGUGACACACAAUUGGCCCAGCAUUGUCCGGCUUAGGGGAGGGUUUGGCCGGCCGGGAUGUCCUUGUCCCAUUGCGCUGUAGCGGCUCCUGUGGCGGGCCAGGUGCAUGCACGCUGACACGGUCAUCAGGUGUACAGUGUUUCCUCUGACACAAUGGUGUGGCUGGCAUCUGGGUUAAGUGUGCAUUGUGUCAAGAAGCAGUGCGGCUUGGCAGGGUUGUGUUUAGAAGGAUGCAUGGCUCUCUCCCGAGGUCGUAUGGGAGUUGCAGCGAAGGGACAAGACAAUUGGAUAUGACAAAGGUGGUAAAAAAGAAAAAAAAAUGUUUUUAUUUAACUAGGCAAGUCAAUUCUUAUUUACAAUGACGGCCUACCCCGGCCAAACCCGGACGAUGCUCGGCCAAUUGUGCGCCGCCCAAUGGGACACCCAAUCACAGCCAGAUGUGAUGCAGGCUGGAUUCAAACCAGGUACUGCAGUGAUGUCUUAGACCACUGCUCCACUCGAGAGCCCCAUAAAUUAAUAAAGUUAUAAAAACAAUUGUGGAUGGGUAUAAUUUGUAUGCAUAAAAUGUAUAAAAGUAACAUUUAAAAUGACUAAAUCGGGUAAAUUUGUAUACAUUUAUUUAAAAUUGCAUCGGGCCGCUUCUGGGGGGAUUCUAGUACGAUGCCGGCAAAGUCGGCUGAAUUCUGGAAGACGGAAACGCCCCGAUGUACUUGGGCCGAUUCUGGGCAGUCAUUCAUUUUGAUUCCGGGCCGAGUCCGACACCUGAUUCCGGGACGAUUUAAUCAGUUCUGGACCCCCGGAAGAGGGCCGCUUCUGGGCAGAUUCCUCAUUGAUAGCUGGGAUGUGUGUCCUGUGUGUAUUUGCAGUACAUUGGUGCAUCUGUGUGCUUAUCAGCAUCUGUUAGAUUAGUUGUGCAUGUGUGUGCCUGGGUAUGUAUGUGUUUGUGUGUUUGUUUGUGUGUGCGUGUGUGACUGUGUGCCUGUGUGUAGACAGUGGAGCCGUUACAACACUUGCUGGGUGUAGGAUCCAGGGUGUUUGUUCUCUAGGUGUUUGCAGAGUGGAAUAUCGCUCUGUACAGGACACAAUGUUCUCCUACUCCAUCAGCCUUUAACCUCUUAAAAUGACAGGCUUCUCUCUGUCUUUCUCUAUAUACACACACACAUAUAUAUACAGUACAAGUCAAAAGUUUGGACACACCUACUCAUUCAAGGGUUUUUCUUUAUUUGUACUAUUUUCUACAUUGUAAAAAUAGUGAAGACAUCAAAACUAUGAAAUAACACAUGAAAUCACGUAGUAACAAAAGUGUUAAGCAAUUCAAAAUAUAUUUUAUAUUUCAGCAUCUUCAAAGUAGCCACCCUUUGCCUUGAUGACAGCUAGCUAGCUAACAUUAGCUGGCAGGCUCCCUAGCUAACAUUACGUGUAUGACGUUAUUAUUCAUAUCCCAGAACCGUUUGCUUUGCUAGUUAGAGCCUAAUGUUAGCUAGCUAACAUUGAACCUGGUUGGUUAGCAGAUUCAUGCAGGGUAGUAACGACAUGAUUUGGC
RNAcentral lists this long non-coding RNA (3067 nucleotides) under Salmo salar (Atlantic salmon). RNAcentral's name for it is "lncRNA (ENSSSAG00000094939.1)". Lineage: Eukaryota; Metazoa; Chordata; Actinopteri; Salmoniformes; Salmonidae. The record is from RNAcentral.